RNAcentral lists this small nuclear RNA (255 nucleotides) under Chinchilla lanigera (long-tailed chinchilla). RNAcentral describes it as "7SK RNA (ENSCLAG00000021488.1)". It matches the Rfam family "7SK RNA". From Rfam's summary of the family: 7SK was discovered as an abundant small nuclear RNA in the mid-70s but a possible function has only recently been suggested. Two independent studies have found that 7SK RNA binds the CDK9/cyclin T complex (known as elongation factor P-TEFb). Lineage: Eukaryota; Metazoa; Chordata; Mammalia; Rodentia; Chinchillidae. The record is from Rfam by way of RNAcentral.
GGAUGUAAGGGUGAUCUGCCUGUGACAUCUGUCGCACACUGAUAUCACCCAUCUGGCUGGCUGGUAGGGUGUCCCCUUCCUCCUGCAUCACUCCAUGUGUGUCCCUCCCCAAGCUUCGCCACAUUCCCUGAUCAGAGAGAGCCAUUCUGCAGUCCAGGCUAGAAGAACAGCUGUGCACCCCUGCUGGAAUUUCCAAACAAUCGCUCAAGGUUUAAAGGGAAGCAAAAGGCUUAAAAUCCCCUACAUAAACUCUGU